GACGAACGCUGGCGGCGUGCUUAACACAUGCAAGUCGAACGGAAAGGCCCUGCUUUUGUGGGGUGCUCGAGUGACGAACGGGUGAGUAACACGUGAGUAACCCGCCCUUGACUUUGGGAUAACUUCAGGAAACUGGGGCUAAUACCGGAUAGGAGCUCCUGCUGCAUGGUGGGGGUUGGAAAGUUUCGGCGGUUGGGGAUGGACUCGCGGCUUAUCAGCUUGUUGGUGGGGUAGUGGCUUACCAAGGCUUUGACGGGUAGCCGGCCUGAGAGGGUGACCGGCCACAUUGGGACUGAGAUACGGCCCAGACUCCUACGGGAGGCAGCAGUGGGGAAUAUUGCACAAUGGGCGGAAGCCUGAUGCAGCAACGCCGCGUGCGGGAUGACGGCCUUCGGGUUGUAAACCGCUUUCGCCUGUGACGAAGCGUGAGUGACGGUAAUGGGUAAAGAAGCACCGGCUAACUACGUGCCAGCAGCCGCGGUGAUACGUAGGGUGCGAGCGUUGUCCGGAUUUAUUGGGCGUAAAGGGCUCGUAGGUGGUUGAUCGCGUCGGAAGUGUAAUCUUGGGGCUUAACCCUGAGCGUGCUUUCGAUACGGGUUGACUUGAGGAAGGUAGGGGAGAGUGGAAUUCCUGGUGGAGCGGUGGAAUGCGCAGAUAUCAGGAGGAACACCAGUGGCGAAGGCGGUUCUCUGGGCCUUUCCUGACGCUGAGGAGCGAAAGCGUGGGGAGCGAACAGGCUUAGAUACCCUGGUAGUCCACGCUGUAAACGGUGGGUACUAGGUGUGGGGUCCAUUCCACGGGUUCCGUGCCGUAGCUAACGCUUUAAGUACCCCGCCUGGGGAGUACGGCCGCAAGGCUAAAACUCAAAGGAAUUGACGGGGCCCCGCACAAGCGGCGGAGCAUGCGGAUUAAUUCGAUGCAACGCGUAGAACCUUACCUGGGUUUGACAUGGAUCGGGAGCGCUCAGAGAUGGGUGUGCCUCUUUUGGGGUCGGUUCACAGGUGGUGCAUGGCUGUCGUCAGCUCGUGUCGUGAGAUGUUGGGUUAAGUCCCGCAACGAGCGCAACCCUUGUUCACUGUUGCCAGCACGUUAUGGUGGGGACUCAGUGGAGACCGCCGGGGUCAACUCGGAGGAAGGUGGGGAUGACGUCAAGUCAUCAUGCCCCUUAUGUCCAGGGCUUCACGCAUGCUACAAUGGCUGGUACAGAGAGUGGCGAGCCUGUGAGGGUGAGCGAAUCUCGGAAAGCCGGUCUCAGUUCGGAUUGGGGUCUGCAACUCGACCUCAUGAAGUCGGAGUCGCUAGUAAUCGCAGAUCAGCAACGCUGCGGUGAAUACGUUCCCGGG
Molecule: ribosomal RNA, 1343 nt
Filed under: uncultured bacterium
Lineage: Bacteria
Description: 16S ribosomal RNA
Rfam family: Bacterial small subunit ribosomal RNA
Source: RNAcentral